This 892-nucleotide ribosomal RNA is filed under the name Nectria pseudotrichia. RNAcentral's name for it is "eukaryotic LSU rRNA". It matches the Rfam family "Eukaryotic large subunit ribosomal RNA", at positions 40 to 962 of the family's 3401-position model. Lineage: Eukaryota; Fungi; Ascomycota; Sordariomycetes; Hypocreales; Nectriaceae. The record is from RNAcentral.
AUAUCAAUAAGCGGAGGAAAAGAAACCAACAGGGAUUGCCCUAGUAACGGCGAGUGAAGCGGCAACAGCUCAAAUUUGAAAUCUGGCCCUCGUGGUCCGAGUUGUAAUUUGUAGAGGAUGCUUUUGGUUAGGUGCCUUCCGAGUGCCCUGGAACGGGCCGCCAUAGAGGGUGAGAGCCCCGUCUGGUUGGACACCGAGCCUCUGUAAAGCUCCUUCGACGAGUCGAGUAGUUUGGGAAUGCUGCUCUAAAUGGGAGGUAUAUGUCUUCUAAAGCUAAAUAUUGGCCAGAGACCGAUAGCGCACAAGUAGAGUGAUCGAAAGAUGAAAAGCACUUUGAAAAGAGGGUUAAAAAGUACGUGAAAUUGUUGAAAGGGAAGCGCUUGUGACCAGACUUGGGCCCGGUCAAUCAUCCAGGGUUCUCCCUGGUGCACUUGGCCGGCCCAGGCCAGCAUCAGUUCGUCGCGGGGGAUAAAGGCGUUGGGAAUGUGGCUCCCCCGGGAGUGUUAUAGCCCUUCGCGCAAUACCCUGCUUUGGACUGAGGUUCGCGCAUCUUGCAAGGAUGCUGGCGUAAUGGUCAUCAGCGACCCGUCUUGAAACACGGACCAAGGAGUCGUCUUCGUAUGCGAGUGUUCGGGUAUCAAACCCCUACGCGUAAUGAAAGUGAACGCAGGUGAGAGCUUCGGCGCAUCAUCGACCGAUCCUGAUGUUCUCGGAUGGAUUUGAGUAAGAGCAUACGGGGCCGGACCCGAAAGAAGGUGAACUAUGCCUGUAUAGGGUGAAGCCAGAGGAAACUCUGGUGGAGGCUCGCAGCGGUUCUGACGUGCAAAUCGAUCGUCAAAUAUGGGCAUGGGGGCGAAAGACUAAUCGAACCUUCUAGUAGCUGGUUUCCGCC